AUUUAAAUAGCUUAUAAUUAGAGCAUGACAUUGAAGAUGUUAGGGAGAUUACUAUAAUCUUUAGAUA
RNAcentral lists this transfer RNA (67 nucleotides) under Xylophagus ater. RNAcentral describes it as "tRNA-Phe". The record is from RNAcentral. Lineage: Eukaryota; Metazoa; Arthropoda; Insecta; Diptera; Xylophagidae.